GCAUCGAUAGCUUAGUAGCAGAGCAGUGGGAUGUUAACUCAUGCGGCCCGGGUUUGAGCCCCUGUCGAUGCA
Non-coding RNA from Phthorimaea operculella (potato tuberworm), 72 nucleotides. NCBI's taxonomy places the organism in Eukaryota, Metazoa, Arthropoda, Insecta, Lepidoptera, Gelechiidae. The record is from the annotation of a GenBank genome assembly.